GACGAACGCCGGCGGCGUGCUUAACACAUGCAAGUCGAACGGGCCUUGUCCCCUUUUUUUUGGGGGUGGGGUUAGUGGCGAACGGGUGAGUAACACGUGAGUAACCUGCCCCUCACUUCUGGAUAACCGCUUGAAAGGGUGGCUAAUACGGGGUGUUCUGGCCUGCUCGCAUGGGUGGGUUUGGAAAGAUUCGACCGGUUUUGGUUGUUUUGGUGGGGGAUGGGCUCGCGGCCUAUCAGCUUGUUGGUGGGGUGAUGGCCUGCCAAGGCUUUGACGGGUAGCCGGCCUGAGAGGGUGGGCGGUCACACUGGGACUGAGACACGGCCCAGACUCCUACGGGAGGCAGCAGUGGGGAAUAUUGCACAAUGGGCGCAAGCCUGAUGCAGCGACGCCGCGUGAGGGAUGGAGGCCUUCGGGUUGUGAACCUCUUUCGCCAGUGAAGAAGGUCCUGCUCUUUGUGGUGGGGUUGACGGUAGCUGGGUUAAUGAAGCGCCGGCUAACUACGUG
This 507-nucleotide ribosomal RNA is filed under the name uncultured bacterium. RNAcentral describes it as "partial 16S ribosomal RNA". It matches the Rfam family "Bacterial small subunit ribosomal RNA", at positions 28 to 507 of the family's 1533-position model. The record is from RNAcentral.